This 484-nucleotide ribosomal RNA is filed under the name uncultured bacterium. RNAcentral's name for it is "partial 16S ribosomal RNA". It matches the Rfam family "Bacterial small subunit ribosomal RNA", at positions 30 to 507 of the family's 1533-position model. The record is from RNAcentral.
AUUGAACGCUGGCGGCAGGCCUAACACAUGCAAGUCGAGCGGAUGAAGGGAGCUUGCUCCUGGAUUCAGCGGCGGACGGGUGAGUAAUGCCUAGGAAUCUGCCUGGUAGUGGGGGAUAACGUCCGGAAACGGGCGCUAAUACCGCAUACGUCCUGAGGGAGAAAGUGGGGGAUCUUCGGACCUCACGCUAUCAGAUGAGCCUAGGUCGGAUUAGCUAGUUGGUGGGGUAAAGGCCUACCAAGGCGACAAUCCGUAACUGGUCUGAGAGGAUGAUCAGUCACACUGGAACUGAGACACGGUCCAGACUCCUACGGGAGGCAGCAGUGGGGAAUAUUGGACAAUGGGCGAAAGCCUGAUCCAGCCAUGCCGCGUGUGUGAAGAAGGUCUUCGGAUUGUAAAGCACUUUAAGUUGGGGGGAAGGGCAGUAAGUUAAUACCUUGCUGUUUUGACGUUACCAACAGAAUAAGCACCGGCUAACUUCGUG